RNAcentral lists this ribosomal RNA (489 nucleotides) under uncultured bacterium. RNAcentral describes it as "partial 16S ribosomal RNA". It matches the Rfam family "Bacterial small subunit ribosomal RNA", at positions 28 to 507 of the family's 1533-position model. The record is from RNAcentral.
GAUGAACGCUCGCUACAGGCUUAACACAUGCAAGUCGAGGGGCAGCAUGAUUGAAGCUUGCUUCAAUCGAUGGCGACCGGCGCACGGGUGAGUAACACGUAUCCAAUCUGCCGAUAACACGGGGAUAGCCUUUCGAAAGAAAGAUUAAUACCCGAUAGUAUAGUAUUUCCGCAUGGUUUCACUAUUAAAGAACUUCGGUUAUCGAUGGGGAUGCGUUCCAUUAGAUAGUUGGCGGGGUAACGGCCCACCAAGUCAACGAUGGAUAGGGGUUCUGAGAGGAAGGUCCCCCACAUUGGAACUGAGACACGGUCCAAACUGCUACGGGAGGCAGCAGUGAGGAAUAUUGGUGAAUGGACGAGAGUCUGAACCAGCCAAGUAGCGUGAAGGAUGACUGCCCUAUGGGUUGUAAACUUCUUUUAUACGGGAAUAAAGUGGAGUAUGCAUACUCCUUUGUAUGUACCGUAUGAAUAAGGAUCGGCUAACUCCGUG